GCACAAGCGGUGGAGCAUGUGGUUAAUUCGAAGCAACGCGAAGAACCUUACCAGGUCUUGACAUCCCGAUGCUAUUUCUAGAGAUAGAAAGUUACUUCGGUACAUCGGUGACAGGUGGUGCAUGGUUGUCGUCAGCUCGUGUCGUGGGAUGUUGGGUUAAGUCCCGCAACGAGCGCAACCCCUAUUGUUAGUUGCCAUCAUUCAGUUGGGCACUCUAGCGAGACUGCCGGUAAUAAACCGGAGGAAGGUGGGGAUGACGUCAAAUCAUCAUGCCCCUUAUGACCUGGGCUACACACGUGCUACAAUGGUCGGUACAGAGGGUUGCCAACCCGCGAGGGGGAGCUAAUCCCACAAAGCCGAUCGUAGUCCGGAUCGCAGUCUGCAACUCGACUGCGUGAAGUCGGAAUCGCUAGUAAUCGUGGAUCAGCAUGUCACGGUGAAUACGUUCCCGGGUCUU
This 457-nucleotide ribosomal RNA is filed under the name uncultured Streptococcus sp. Its description in RNAcentral is "bacterial SSU rRNA". It matches the Rfam family "Bacterial small subunit ribosomal RNA", at positions 923 to 1382 of the family's 1533-position model. Lineage: Bacteria; Bacillati; Bacillota; Bacilli; Lactobacillales; Streptococcaceae. The record is from RNAcentral.